GUUUUCACCCAAAAGUUCCCUGUAGUAGAAGUGAGAAAUUUCUUUAGAGAUGUGCAAAGUAAACGUAAUUAAACUGAGUGUAAAAUGAUCAAAGUAUGACGUCUAGCGUCAGAAAAAGAAACAUUGACAUCAAAACAAUGUCCGCUCUAGCUCGUUGACACUCAAUUGAAUGAAGAAAUAAACAAAGGCAAAUGACUUCGAUACUCACGGCAUAUACUCCUCUCCAAAUUUAUAGGUCAUCUCGUCUUCACCAAAAAGCCUCCACUGCUGCAGCAUCACACAUAUCACAACAUACGAAAUCCCUAAGGUUUCAAUGACCGCUGAUGUUCACUGUUAAUGGAGAUGCUGCCUAUGGAAGAGAGGUGUGCUUAAAGUUGAUGCUUCUGCUGGUGUCUUUGGUGUCACAGUUCAAUGUGUUGUUCGUUAUAUUGUCUGUCAUGGCAAAUCUCUUCUCUCUGUCACUCAAAUCUCAUCCAUGCAUUUACAAUUGAGGUAACCUGAUCUUACAUGAUCUAGGAGUGCUUCAAUCGAAAACUGCUAGAUCAAGAAACCUUACAUGCACCAAACAAAUAAUAACACUCUGUUGUUAUCUUGUUUGAUUAAGCAACAGGCCACCUGCAAUCAAAUAAAAUUAUAGGCCUUAUCACA
Molecule: long non-coding RNA, 648 nt
Organism: Daphnia pulex (common water flea)
Lineage: Eukaryota; Metazoa; Arthropoda; Branchiopoda; Diplostraca; Daphniidae
Exons: 2
Source: RefSeq, a predicted model, not a curated record